RNAcentral lists this small RNA (602 nucleotides) under Arabidopsis thaliana (thale cress). Its description in RNAcentral is "ATSL195440". Lineage: Eukaryota; Viridiplantae; Streptophyta; Magnoliopsida; Brassicales; Brassicaceae. The record is from RNAcentral.
AGAACAUUAAGGAUGCUGAACAUGUUGAGUCAUACACCUUAUUGGAUUUAGGGUUAUAGUAACAAUCUAUGUAAAAUCUGCACCGUAUUAAUAUGAACUCGUUGCUCGAGUUAUAAAAGCCCAACCAAACAAAGAUUACACAUCACACCAGAACUGACUUUAAAAUGAGUUGACCACCCUAAGUACAAUGAAGAUUAUGAUCCAUCAAAUUCAACAUUUUCAGUUGCCUAAAAGAGGUAGAUCCUUAGUGGAAAGGCAAUACAAAUUGCUACUCAUAUGUAAUAUGCAAGAAAUGAGUAAGUUCUUUUAAGGGUUUGAUUAUUUUAUUUUCUUUCUUUUUUAUUUCUUUGAAAUGGAAUGAUGAUAAUGCAACUUUCAAAAUAUAUAAGACUUCUUUUAGGUCACAAAAUUUGAUGUUAGUAUUUAGGUCACAAAAUCGGCACCAUCCACGCAAUUUGUGUCAAGUCGAUUAUGAAAUGAAUCAAAACCGUGCCUAACCAGAAUGUCCUGAAUCGAAAUCCAAAAUGCAAAUACCUUACUUAGACAACAAAACAUUGAUGUAUCAAUAUAUCUAAAACAACAAUAGCUAUUGAAAGGGGGGG